Molecule: non-coding RNA, 348 nt
Organism: Deltaproteobacteria bacterium RBG_13_60_28
Lineage: Bacteria; Deltaproteobacteria
Source: Rfam
GGGGGCGAAACGGCUUCGACGUAGAUAGAGAACUGCCAGUUGCAUGCCGAGGUCCUGUCCGCUCGUUAAACGGGUAGGAAACACACAACUGCCGACAACUACGGCUACGCUCUAGCCGCUUAAGGCUAGCACCUGGGGAUCUUACGCCGGGAGAAGACCUCAGGUGACCGUUUCCUGGCAAAGCUGCCCAUCUCGCCUGCGGGUUGGCGGACGAAAACUACAGCAGGAUAGCUUCUAAGAAUUCUGUCGGUGGAAGUCUUUAGGGGCAAAAAUAAAACAUCGACUAAGCAUGUAGAUGCUCUCAGGGACUGUUUGCGGACGCGGGUUCGACUCCCGCCGCCUCCACCA